CCUGUUAAGUCAGGCAACGAGCGAGACCCACGCCAACAGUUGCCAGCUCGUCCUCCGGGAUGGUGGGGACACUGUUGGGACCGCCUCUGCUAAAGAGGAGGAAGGAAUGGGCAACGGUAGGUCAGCAUGCCCCGAAUUAUCUGGGCUACACGCGGGCUACAAUGGGUGGGACAAUGGGUAUCGACACCGAAAGGUGAAGGCAAUCUCCUAAACCCAUCCGUAGUUCGGAUUGUGGGCUGCAACUCGCCCACAUGAAGCUGGAAUCUGUAGUAAUCGUGUCUCAAAAUGGCACGGUGAAUAUGUCCCUGCUCCUU
This 314-nucleotide ribosomal RNA is filed under the name uncultured Methanomicrobiales archaeon. RNAcentral's name for it is "bacterial SSU rRNA". It matches the Rfam family "Archaeal small subunit ribosomal RNA", at positions 1025 to 1338 of the family's 1478-position model. The record is from RNAcentral. Lineage: Archaea; Methanobacteriati; Methanobacteriota; Methanomicrobia; Methanomicrobiales.